This 445-nucleotide ribosomal RNA is filed under the name uncultured Anaerolineaceae bacterium. Its description in RNAcentral is "bacterial SSU rRNA". It matches the Rfam family "Bacterial small subunit ribosomal RNA", at positions 925 to 1382 of the family's 1533-position model. The record is from RNAcentral. Lineage: Bacteria; Bacillati; Chloroflexota; Anaerolineae; Anaerolineales; Anaerolineaceae.
ACAAGCAGCGGUAGCGUGUGGUUUAAUUCGUUGACUACACGAAGUAACCUUACCUGGGUUUGACAUAUAGGUUGUAGGGAACUGAAAAGGGACCGACCCUUCGGGAGCCUAUACAGGUGUUGCAUGGCUGUCGUCAGCUCGUGUCGUGAGAUGUUCGGUUAAGUCCGCUAACGAGCGCAACCCUCGUCGUAUGUUAUAUGUGUCAUACGAGACUGCCGGUAAAAGCCGGAGGAAGGUGAGGAUGAUGUCAAGUCAGCAUGACCUUUAUAUCCAGGGCUACACACACGCUACAAUGGUCUGUACAAUGGGUAGCCAAGCCGCGAGGCGGAGCCAAUCCUGAAAGCAGGCCUCAGUUCAGAUUGCAGUCUGCAACUCGACUGCACGAAGCCGGAGUUGCUAGUAACCGCAGGUCAGCAAUACUGCGGUGAAUACGUUCCCGGGUCUU